RNAcentral lists this transfer RNA (94 nucleotides) under Endobacterium cereale. RNAcentral describes it as "Rhizobiales bacterium RZME27 tRNA-OTHER". It matches the Rfam family "tRNA". Rfam says of the family: Transfer RNA (tRNA) molecules are approximately 80 nucleotides in length. Their secondary structure includes four short double-helical elements and three loops (D, anti-codon, and T loops). Lineage: Bacteria; Pseudomonadati; Pseudomonadota; Alphaproteobacteria; Hyphomicrobiales; Rhizobiaceae. The record is from RNAcentral.
AAAGGCGUGGCGGAGUGGUUUAUCGCGGGCGGCCGUCCUACGGGACCCGCUCCGGGCCUCCGGGCUCGCGCAGGUUCAAAUCCUGCCGCCUUUC